GACGAACGCUGGCGGCGUGCUUAACACAUGCAAGUCGAACGGUAAGGCCCCUUCGGGGGUACACGAGUGGCGAACGGGUGAGUAACACGUGAGCAACCUGCCCUUGACUCUGGAAUAACAGUUGGAAACAGCUGCUAAUACUGGAUAUUCAUCGUCUCCUUCCUGGGGGGUGGUGGAAAGCUCCGGCGGUCAGGGAUGGGCUCGCGGCCUAUCAGCUUGUUGGUGAGGUAAUGGCUCACCAAGGCUUCGACGGGUAGCCGGCCUGAGAGGGCGACCGGCCACACUGGGACUGAGAUGCGGCCCAGACUCCUACGGGAGGCAGCAGUGGGGAAUAUUGCACAAUGGGCGCAAGCCUGAUGCAGCAACGCCGCGUGCGGGAUGACGGCCUUCGGGUUGUAAACCGCUUUCAGUAGGGACGAAGGGUGACUGACGGUACCUACAGAAGAAGGACCGGCUAACUACGUG
RNAcentral lists this ribosomal RNA (465 nucleotides) under uncultured bacterium. Its description in RNAcentral is "partial 16S ribosomal RNA". It matches the Rfam family "Bacterial small subunit ribosomal RNA", at positions 28 to 507 of the family's 1533-position model. The record is from RNAcentral.